RNAcentral lists this ribosomal RNA (459 nucleotides) under uncultured bacterium. RNAcentral describes it as "partial 16S ribosomal RNA". It matches the Rfam family "Bacterial small subunit ribosomal RNA", at positions 338 to 795 of the family's 1533-position model. The record is from RNAcentral.
CCUACGGGAGGCAGCAGUGAGGAAUAUUGGUCAAUGGGCGUAAGCCUGAACCAGCCAAGUCGCGUGAGGGAUGAAGGUUCUAUGGAUCGUAAACCUCUUUUAUAAGGGAAUAAAGUGUGGGACGUGUCCUGUUUUGUAUGUACCUUAUGAAUAAGGAUCGGCUAACUCCGUGCCAGCAGCCGCGGUAAUACGGAGGAUCCGAGCGUUAGCCGGAUUUAUUGGGUUUAAGGGGUGCGUAGGCGGCCUUUUAAGUCAGCGGUGAAAGUCUGUGGCUCAACCAUAGAAUUGCCGUUGAAACUGGGAGGCUUGGGUAUGUUUGAGGCAGGCGGAAUGCGUGGUGUAGCGGUGAAAUGCUUAGAUAUCACGCAGAACCCCGAUUGCGAAGGCAGCCUGCCAAGCCAUGACUGACGCUGAUGCACGAAAGCGUGGGGAUCAAACAGGAUUAGAUACCCGGUAGUC